AGUGAACGCUGGCGGUAGGCUUAACACAUGCAAGUCGAACGGAAGAACAGUAAGACUUUGUCUUUCUGGGGGGCGAGGGGGGGCAGGGUGAGGAUACCACCGGAACUUCUUUUUUGGGGGGGGUUAAGGAAGGGAACUUUACCUAAAUACAGAUACGACCCCACGGGGGAAGGGAGGGGACUUUUGGCCCUUGUGGGUUUGAACAAGCGGAUGUCGGAUUAGCUAGUUGGCGGGGUAAAGGCCCACCAAGGCGACGAUCCGUAGCUGGUCUGAGAGGAUGAUCAGCCACACUGGAACUGAGACACGGUCCAGACUCCUACGGGAGGCAGCAGUGGGGAAUAUUGGACAGAGGGCGCAAGCCUGAUCCAGCCAUACCGCGUGGGUGAAGAAGGCCUUCGGGUUGUAAAGCCCUUUUGUUGGGAAAGAAAAGCAGCAGGUUAAUACCCCGCUGUUCUGACGGUACCCAAAGAAUAAGCACCGGCUAACUUCGUG
RNAcentral lists this ribosomal RNA (492 nucleotides) under uncultured bacterium. RNAcentral's name for it is "partial 16S ribosomal RNA". It matches the Rfam family "Bacterial small subunit ribosomal RNA", at positions 29 to 507 of the family's 1533-position model. The record is from RNAcentral.